AUACAGUUGACGAGUCCCAAAUAGGACGGAACGCGCAUCCUGAAU
This is a non-coding RNA of Schistosoma mattheei, 45 nucleotides long. The record is from Rfam. Lineage: Eukaryota; Metazoa; Platyhelminthes; Trematoda; Strigeidida; Schistosomatidae.